UUUUUUUUUUUAAGGUAAAGGCUUGUAGCUGAAUGAGGGGGGAAAGAGGGAAGGAGGAAAGGAGGGAGGAGAGAGAGAGCUUGAGAGCUGGGGAGGAGGAGAGAGAGGAAAAAGAGAGCCAUUGCAUUCUAUCACCAGGUGGCAAAUGACAAAUUCAGGAGAGGACUAUCCUUGGUAAAGCUAGCCGAGGCAGCACACCAACUUUGUUUUUGGUCCAGCCUGCUCUAUUUUGUGCGUAUCAGUGGCUUCCGACUGGUCUGAAUCAAAAGCUAUCUCCAAGAUGUGCUUGGAGGUGCAGAUUUCUCUUUAUUACCUAUUCCGGACCCAUAUCCAGUAGAAAAAUGCCUUCGAAGGCAUUUGCCUCAGCUCUGGGGCCUGUUUUAUUUGGAGAACAAUUGGAAAUGAUGAGCAGCUUUAAAUGUGAAUUCUACUUGGCAGCUGCCUGACUGAGGCGGGACGGGAUGCAUAUCCCAUAUGUGCACCCACGUGCAGGGAGAAGUGCAGGCCUGGGCGCAGGCGGUCAGCAAGGCAGCCAUGCUACUGGGUUUCUCGAUUAUUUUCCUCCUAGGAAUCUGCGUUUUCCAACCAAUCGCUCCUGGAUGGACUUCCAGCAACGCUCAUCCUGGAAGAUUAGUUCCAAAUUCUGCAGCCUACAGUGAAACAUUUGAAUGUUCUCCGCUGAAACUAGUUCUAUUUGACUUAAAAGAACACAGACCAUGGUGCCUGGAGGCUCCUCGUCAUGAGUGGUGGAAAAUUUAUUCCAAAGCUCCAUUUCUCAUUUUUUAAAAAUGUUAAGCUAAAGAGACAUACAUUUUCCUGACAACACAGAACAGAAAAAGGCAGCGGUUACCCCAGCAUUAACUUUCAGAUCAUAUCCAAAAGGUAAAUAAAGCAUAAAUUAACCAAUUACAAUAAAAUACCGGAUAAAUGCCUUUGACAACUUUGAAUUUCCCAGGAAAAUGCUUCCAGCUGUGACCCCUGACUUGCAAAGCAUGGGCUGUACAGGCCUCAACUUGUUUAUAAAGGAUGGAUCUGGGUCUCCAUCUUCAUCCUUGAUGGGGUCUCUUCCUUUCACUUGAAUGGAAUUGGAUAGAAGCAAACUGUUUUAAAAGUCACUGACAAGCAGAGAUAAGCCUGGAUAUUCCCAAGACUUCCCAUUACUACACAUCAAGCUGCUUUUUAGAAAUUGAAAAUACACUCCUAAGGAUUGGGCCAAGAGAAUGCCAAAGUUAGGAGCCUUGAUCCAGUGAGAGGAGUGAGCCAUUGGACAGAGAAUGGGAGAUGGAAUGAGGUCUGCAGGGCAGAUGGACCCACAGCCUACUUUUGUAAAUAAAGUUUUAUUGGCACAGCCACACUUGUUUCUCUACAUAUUGUCUGUGCCUGCUUUCUCGCUAUGAUGGCAGAGUAGCUGUGAGAGACCACAUGGUCCACAAAGCUGAAAAUGUCUGCAGCUUACAAAAUAGGGAGCCAAGAUGGUACUGUCUGUGGUGGCUGGAGUAAGGAAAGCCAUGGAAGGUCAUAGUUUGGAGUUGCUCAGGUGGUCAGUGGAGAGUCUAAGGCAGUGAAGGCAAGUUGACAGAAGGCACAGGAUGGUGACGAGUGGUGCGACAUAGCUUCAAUCCUCACGCCACCUCACACUGGCUGUACUCGCUAUCUAUGCUGUGUAAAACUUUACCACAACUUAGUGGCUUAUGACAAUGUUUAUUAGCUCAAAGCUCUGCAGGUCAGAGUCUGGGCACAGUGUCACUGGGUUCUGUGCUUGGCAUCUCACCAAGCUGAAAUGAAAACCACGCUGUCAUCUGAGCUUAGGGACCUCUACUGAGGUCACACGGCUAUGUCAGAAUUCAGUCCCUUGAGGUUGUAGGACUGAGGUCCUUAUGUGGCUGCCAGCUGAAGACUAGCUUUAGGUCCCAGAGGCCACCUGGGUUUCCUUGCCAUGUGGCCCUAUCUUCAAGCCAGCAGUGGAAUAUUUCUCAAACAUCAAAUCUCCCUUGUCCCUUGAAUCUCUGACUUCCUGUCUCUGACCCCCAGACCCAGAUAUAAAGGGCUCCUGUGUUUAGGUCAGAACCCCACCCCCCAGAUAUCUCCCCAUCUUGAGGUCAAAUUAUUUAUUUAUUAUAUAUAAACCUUAAUUAUAUCAGCUCCACUCCCUCAUACCUCCACCCCCCCACCACAGAAUAGUGUUAAAUUGAAUGACUGGGAGAAGGUGUGUGUACCCAGGGGCUGGAAUCCUGGGGCCAUCUUGUAAUUCUGCCCACACUCUACCAUCCUGCAGAGCCACAAGCAAACAGGAAAUGCCUGAAGUGGGUAAACCUAAAAUCAACCAUAUCAGCCUGUCUUUUGGAGGUGUGGGGUACCCACCAGAGCUAAAAUCUAAAACUGGUCAAUCGAGGUUGGCUCCAGGGCCAGGAGCAGGGAGGUGAGGGGGAUGCGGCAAGGAGCUGUCAUUCACCCCUAGAACACUAUUCUACACUAUUUGAUUUUUUUAAAAUUAUGCACAUACAUUGCUUUGAUAGCAAUUUUUUAGAAGAGGGUAAAGAAGUCAAUCCCAUUGGAUUUCUUUCCUUAUGGGUUCUUAGCUCAGUUUUCUCAUUUACUGAAGUUACUACCAUCUACAACCAUCUUUACAUUGUGUUCUCCAACUUCCAGCAUCCCCUGUCUUCCUCAAGGGAAGGCAACUCGCCCACCUGCCCUUGACCCCAAACCUCCUCCAGCCCUUCCUGGGGCCUUACUCCAUCAGAUGAGCCUUCUCUACUUACCACCUACAAACUCCCUCUCAGCAUAUGCUCCCCUAGAAGCAGAGGCUGAGACCAGCAGGUGACCGGAACUGGUGUAUUUGGAAAGCGCCCCCAGGAAGCACUGGAUGGGGAGCAGAGAAAUGAGACAGGAUGCAGAGGCCAGCCCAUAAAGGAUUUCCAAGCUGGGGCAUCCUAGGAAGCCAUGUCCCCCAGAGCCAACCAAGGAGCGAGGAAGUCGGGACAUUCACCCACCAAACCCCAUCCGUUACUGGCUGAGGUGCAGCUGGGGCACCAGCUCUUUGGCUUGCCAUAUACACCUCAGUGGAUAAUUGUCCCAACGGUGGAGAAGGAAGCUCUCAGGCAGGAUAUCACAGGGGCCCACAGUCAAGUGCCAUCCAUGCAUGGACUUAAAAGCCCAAGAAAAUCCAGGUGGCGCCUACAAUAUCCACCAUCCUCUCCCUUGCCAUAAGCUCUCCCCUUGAACAAUGAUGGCCUAAGGAUUAGGGAGCACUGUACUGGUAUCCUGGGGCUGCCAUAACAAGUGACCACAAACUAUGGGGCUUGAGAUAAUAGCCUUUUAUUCCCUCACCGUUCUGGAGGCUAGAGGUCCAAAACCAAUGUGUCGGUAAGGCUGUGCUCCCUCUAGAGGCUGUAGGGGAGGAGCUGUUCCAUGACCCUCUCCAAGCUUGGUUGCCAACAGUCCUUGGACACCACACUUUGCCUCUACCUCUGGCUUCAUGUGGCCUCUCCCCUGUGUGUCAAUGUCCAGAUUUCCUUCUUUUCAUAAGGACAGCAGUCACUGGAUUGGAACCCACCUUAAUCCAGUAUGAUCUCAACUCGAUUACAUCUGCAGAGGUCCUGUUUCCAAGUAAGGUCAUAUUCACAGCUACCAGAGGUUGGGCCUUGAACAUAUCUUUUGAGAAACACAAUUCACAACAAACAAUGCACACUUUCUAUGGACCAGACUCUAUGAUAAGCACUUCAUCUGUUUAGAUCUCACACAACAUCUCUGAGGAAAGUACUGUUAUGAUCCCCAUCUUACAUAUGAAGCCCAGAGAGGUUAAAUAAUUUGCCCAGUAUCACACAGCUAGUUAGUGACAGAGCCAAAAAUCCAAAUCCCACCAUUAGCCUCCAGGUCUGAGCAGUGUAUACAGACUGCAUCUCCAGUACCCCCCAUCUGCCCUCUUCUUGACCCUGAAUCCCCUUUGAGCUGUUGUUUCAUCUUCCUUCUUUUUCACAUCCAAUCUUUCCAUUCGGUCAGCCCACAUACACUUGUUGAGCAUCUUCCAGGUACCAGAUCCUGGUGAGGAGCUGAGGGCACCCUGAGCAAAAACAGACACCUGCAUUUUUAUUAUGCAGUAUUUUAUGUUUCCCUCUAAACUGCCUUACGUUGCUUCGGAGAAUGGAGCAUACUGUCUAGAGGCAGGACAGAUGCUAAUCAAAUUCUUGCCCAGACAAGCAUAAAAUUGAGAAGGUGACAAGGGCUAUGAAGCCAAGAUGAGAAGUUAACCCAGUCGAGAAGGUCAAGAACAUGUGCAGAUGAUGAGCAGAUUGGAGAGGCAGGAGGGAAGGGCCCUCCAGGCAGAGGGAACAGCAGGUGCAAACAGGGUAGGAACUUAAAACAGCUCCUGCCCUAGAAAUAGAAACCACCAGGUAAUAAGAGAGAUACUCAGGAGAAGACCCUGGUGUAGGGUAGGGGUCAGCAAAUAUUUUCUGUAAAGGGCCAAGUAAGAAAUAUUUUAGGCUUUGUAGGUGAAUGGUCUCCCUGGAAACUAAUCUUUGCCAUUGCAGGGCAAAGCAGCCACAGACAAUAUGUAAAUGAAUGGGCAUGCC
This 4571-nucleotide long non-coding RNA is filed under the name Canis lupus familiaris (dog). RNAcentral's name for it is "lncRNA (ENSCAFG00845016468.1)". The record is from RNAcentral. Lineage: Eukaryota; Metazoa; Chordata; Mammalia; Carnivora; Canidae.